AGAACGAACGCUGGCGGCAGGCUUAACACAUGCAAGUCGAACGGGUGUAGCAAUACAUCAGUGGCAGACGGGUGAGUAACACGUGGGAACCUUCCUCGUUGUACGGAACAACUCAGGGAAACUUGAGCUAAUACCGUAUACGUCCGAGAGGAGAAAGAUUUAUCGCAAUGAGACGGGCCCGCGUCGGAUUAGCUAGUUGGUGGGGUAAUGGCCUACCAAGGCGACGAUCCGUAGCUGAUCUGAGAGGAUGAUCAGCCACACUGGGACUGAGACACGGCCCAGACUCCUACGGGAGGCAGCAGUGGGAAUCUUGGACAAUGGGCGCAAGCCUGAUCCAGCCAUGCCGCGUGAGUGAAGAAGGCCUUAGGGUUGUAAAGCUCUUUUGCCAGGGACGAUAAUGACGGUACCUGGAGAAUAAGCCCGGCAACUUCGUGCCAGCAGCCGC
Molecule: ribosomal RNA, 445 nt
Filed under: uncultured bacterium
Lineage: Bacteria
Description: SSU rRNA
Rfam family: Bacterial small subunit ribosomal RNA
Source: RNAcentral